GCGGUUAAAGAUGAGUAUGCGCCUGAUUAGCUAGUUGGUGAGGUAACGGCUCACCAAGGCGACGAUCAGUAGGGGAUCUGAGAGGACUACCCCCCACACGGAUACUGAGACACGGAUCCG
Molecule: ribosomal RNA, 120 nt
Filed under: uncultured bacterium
Lineage: Bacteria
Description: partial 16S ribosomal RNA
Rfam family: Bacterial small subunit ribosomal RNA
Source: RNAcentral